RNAcentral lists this ribosomal RNA (484 nucleotides) under uncultured bacterium. RNAcentral's name for it is "partial 16S ribosomal RNA". It matches the Rfam family "Bacterial small subunit ribosomal RNA", at positions 30 to 507 of the family's 1533-position model. The record is from RNAcentral.
AUUGAACGCUGGCGGCAGGCCUAACACAUGCAAGUCGAGCGGAUGAAGGGAGCUUGCUCCUGGAUUCAGCGGCGGACGGGUGAGUAAUGCCUAGGAAUCUGCCUGGUAGUGGGGGAUAACGUCCGGAAACGGGCGCUAAUACCGCAUACGUCCUGAGGGAGAAAGUGGGGGAUCUUCGGACCUCACGCUAUCAUAUGAGCCUAGGUCGGAUUAGCUAGUUGGGGGGGUAAAGGCCUACCAAGGCGACGAUCCGUAACUGGUCUGAGAGGAUGAUCCGUCACACUGGAACUGAGACAGGGUCCAGACUCCUACGGGAGGCAGCAGUGGGGAAUAUUGGACAAUGGGCGAAAGCCUGAUCCAGCGAUGCCGCGUGUGUGAAGAAGGUCUUCGGAUUGUAAAGCACUUUAAGUUGGGAGGAAGGGCAGUAAGUUAAUACCUUGCUGUUUUGACGUUACCAACAGAAUAAGCACCGGCUAACUUCGUG